GCGGCUCAAUGGUUAGAGCGUUGGACUUCUGAUCAAUGGGUCGCGGGUUCGAUCCCCGUGUGCUGCA
Non-coding RNA from Schistocephalus solidus, 67 nucleotides. Lineage: Eukaryota; Metazoa; Platyhelminthes; Cestoda; Diphyllobothriidea; Diphyllobothriidae. The record is from Rfam.